GACGAACGCUGGCGGCGUGCUUAACACAUGCAAGUCGAGCGGAAAGGCCCUUCGGGGUACUCGAGCGGCGAACGGGUGAGUAACACGUGAGUAACCUGCCCCAGACUUUGGGAUAACCCUCGGAAACGGGGGCUAAUACCGGAUACGACACAGCUUCGCAUGGGGUCUGUGUGGAAAGUUUUUCGGUUUGGGAUGGGCUCGCGGCCUAUCAGCUUGUUGGUGGGGUGAUGGCCUACCAAGGCGACGAAGGGUAGCCGGCCUGAGAGGGCGACCGGCCACACUGGGACUGAGACACGGCCCAGACUCCUACGGGAGGCAGCAGUGGGGAAUAUUGCACAAUGGGCGGAAGCCUGAUGCAGCGACGCCGCGUGAGGGAUGACGGCCUUCGGGUUGUAAACCUCUUUCAGCAGGGACGAAGCGUAAGUGACGGUACCUGCAGAAGAAGCGCCGGCCAACUACGUG
This 462-nucleotide ribosomal RNA is filed under the name uncultured bacterium. RNAcentral describes it as "partial 16S ribosomal RNA". It matches the Rfam family "Bacterial small subunit ribosomal RNA", at positions 28 to 507 of the family's 1533-position model. The record is from RNAcentral.